UUAAGGUGAAAGAUUUUGCUU
This 21-nucleotide non-coding RNA is filed under the name Caenorhabditis elegans. The record is from RNAcentral. Lineage: Eukaryota; Metazoa; Nematoda; Chromadorea; Rhabditida; Rhabditidae.